AGAGUUUGAUCCUGGCUCAGGAUGAACGCUGGCGGUAUGCUUAACACAUGCAAGUCGAACGGAACUCUUCGGAGUUCAGUGGCGGACGGGUGAGUAACGCGUGAGAAUCUGGCUUCAAGUUCGGGACAACCAUUGGAAACGAUGGCUAAUACCGGAUGUGCCGCAGGGUGAAAGAUUAAUUGCCUGAAGAUGAGCUCGCGUCUGAUUAGCUAGUUGGUGGGGUAAGAGCCUACCAAGGCGACGAUCAGUAACUGGUCUGAGAGGAUGACCAGUCACACUGGGACUGAGACACGGCCCAGACUCCUACGGGAGGCAGCAGUGAGGAAUUUUCCGCAAUGGGCGAAAGCCUGACGGAGCAAUACCGCGUGAGGGAGGAAGGCUCUAGGGUUGUAAACCUCUUUUCUCAGGGAAGAAUAAAAUGACGGUACCUGAGGAAUAAGCAUCGGCUAACUCCGUGCCAGCAGCCGCGGUAAUACGGAGGAUGCAAGCGUUAUCCGGAUUUAUUGGGCGUAAAGCGUCCGCAGGUGGCAGUUCAAGUCUGCUGUCAAAGGUCGGGGCUCAACCCCGAACAGGCAGUGGAAACUGAACAGCUAGAGUACGGUAGGGGCAGAGGGAAUUCCCAGUGUAGCGGUGAAAUGCAUAGAUAUGACCCAGAACACCGAUUGCGAAGGCAGGCUACUACGACUUGAUUGACACUGAGGCACGAGAGCAUGGGUAGCGAACAGGAUUAGAUACCCUGGUAGUCCAUGCCGUAAACGAUGAUUACUGGCUGUGUGCGUUCAAGCGUGCGUGGCUGAGCGAAAGCGUUAAGUAAUC
This 816-nucleotide ribosomal RNA is filed under the name uncultured cyanobacterium. RNAcentral's name for it is "bacterial SSU rRNA". It matches the Rfam family "Bacterial small subunit ribosomal RNA", at positions 8 to 869 of the family's 1533-position model. Lineage: Bacteria; Bacillati; Cyanobacteriota. The record is from RNAcentral.